This 77-nucleotide transfer RNA is filed under the name Ramalina farinacea. Its description in RNAcentral is "tRNA-Gly". The record is from RNAcentral. Lineage: Eukaryota; Fungi; Ascomycota; Lecanoromycetes; Lecanorales; Ramalinaceae.
GGAUGGCCUAGUUGGAUGGCCUACGGCCGUCAUUGCCGUCAUUGCGGAGGACGUCGGUUCGAAUCCGGCCAUGGCCG